RNAcentral lists this ribosomal RNA (490 nucleotides) under uncultured bacterium. RNAcentral describes it as "partial 16S ribosomal RNA". It matches the Rfam family "Bacterial small subunit ribosomal RNA", at positions 30 to 507 of the family's 1533-position model. The record is from RNAcentral.
AUUGAACGCUGGCGGCAGGCCUAACACAUGCAAGUCGAACGGUAACAGGAAGAAGCUUGCUUCUUUGCUGACGAGUGGCGGACGGGUGAGUAAUGUCUGGGAAACUGCCUGAUGGAGGGGGAUAACUACUGGAAACGGUAGCUAAUACCGCCUAACGUCGCAAGACCAAAGAGGGGGACCUUCGGGCCUCUCGCCAUCGGCUGUGCCCAGAUGGGAUUAGCUAGUAGGUGGGGUAACGGCUCACCUAGGCGACGAUCCCUAGCUGGUCUGAGAGGAUGACCAGCCACACUGGAACUGAGACACGGUCCAGACUCCUACGGGAGGCAGCAGUGGGGAAUAUUGCACAAUGGGCGCAAGCCUGAUGCAGCCAUGCCGCGUGUAUGAAGAAGGCCUUCGGGUUGUAAAGUACUUUCAGCGGGGAGGAAGGGAAUAAAGUUAAUACCUUUGCGCAUUGACGUUACCCGCAGAAGAAGCACCGGCUAACUCCGUG